RNAcentral lists this long non-coding RNA (773 nucleotides) under Solanum tuberosum (potato). Its description in RNAcentral is "long non-coding RNA (STUB_LNC011771)". The record is from RNAcentral. Lineage: Eukaryota; Viridiplantae; Streptophyta; Magnoliopsida; Solanales; Solanaceae.
AAAUAAAAUAUGGCCAAUAUAUUUGAUUAGUAAGAUAAAUGAAUACAAAAACAAAUAAAAGAAUGUAUUAAAAGUAAGCCAAUACAAAGAAAAUAACUUAUUGUUUGGGGAAUUUUUGGGGAAUUUAAUUAGGUUAGUUAACAAUUUAAAAGUUAGAGUCAACACACGAUAAAAAAUAUAUAAUCAUAAUUAAAUAAUUAAAGCGUAGGGAGAAAUUGAAUUUGGGCCCUUCUUGGGCCAAAUUCGCUGCUGAUUUUGAGCUUAGGCUCAAUUCCCCUUUUUGUAUACACUGGUUGUAUAUCAGUGUAUCGUAUGAAUCCAGCCCAAUUUUUUUGUAUAUAAGACUGUAUACCAAAUGUAUACAACCUAAUUCAACUUCCAAAACACCUGUUUCAAUUUUUGGCCUUGCAUUUGUUGCGUUUUGACAUGUAUACAAAAUCUGUAUACCAGUGUAUACCAGCUCCUUUCUUUUUUUUUUGAAUGUCCAGCCCAUAUUUGUCACGUUCCGACCUGUACACUUGCUUCCUUAAUUUGCCAUGGUGACUGACCCGAAGAGAAAGAAAUUCGGGCCUCUGUGGCCCAAUAGGAAGAUGCGAGGAUGAGAGGAGCCCAUGAGGACUCGAGGCGAAUUUUACAUGUGACGAAACAAACAAAUAAAAAUACGUAAGUGACAACCCACAUAUCCAAUAUAAGGAGUAUUGAUGUGAAUAUUUAUACCAUUGUAUUGGAGCCUAAACAUCAGAAAGAAAACAAAAUGACUCUCACUAAUGUUU